UUUCCGUAGGUGAACCUGCGGAAGGAUCAUUCAUAAUAAGUGUUUUAUGGCACUUUUUUUAAAUCCAUAUCCACCUUGUGUGCAAUGUCAGGGUUGAUUUUUCUCUCGAGAGGAUCAGCCCCAAACAUCAACUAUAUCUCAACUCUUUGUCUGAAAAAUAUUAUGAAUAAAACAAUUCAAGAUACAACUUUCAACAACGGAUCUCUUGGCUCUC
This 214-nucleotide unclassified non-coding RNA is filed under the name plant metagenome. RNAcentral describes it as "partial contains small subunit ribosomal RNA, internal transcribed spacer 1, and 5.8S ribosomal RNA". The record is from RNAcentral.